CCUCUGCCUCCAUCAGCCAUUGGAUGAGGAUUCUAGGACGGCAUACAAGGAUUCCAGAGCCUAAUGAAGACCAGCUGAGACAUCCAGCCCCGUGGACGGAAAAACUCCUGGAUUUUUGGACCUUCUGCUGGUGGACAGUCAACUGUUGUUGUUCAAGGUGGACCACAGAAUACAAUCCAUUCUAAUGUGUCUCCCCUUACUUUCUUUCUUCAUUAUAUAAAUUCUGUUCCUCUAGAGAGCCCUGACUAAUAAAAACAUCAAAACUU
Long non-coding RNA from Mesocricetus auratus (golden hamster), 266 nucleotides. RefSeq lists it as uncharacterized. NCBI's taxonomy places the organism in Eukaryota, Metazoa, Chordata, Mammalia, Rodentia, Cricetidae. The record is from RefSeq and is a predicted model, not a curated record. The transcript is spliced from 2 exons.